AAUUUGAGUUGCUUGUGGUUUCUUGCCAGGACCAGGUGGUGGUGAUGUUUGCUUGCUUAGAGCUUCAGCCAUUGUAGCAUUUACAGUAUAAGAGGUUAGAACACAGCCUCUGAGCAGCACUACUUCUUCUGGGAAGUCUGGACGCUACAGAAUCGGAGAAUGACAAGACGGGCCAGAGCUAGCUGGUUAGCAUGCUAAUCUCAAUACAACAAAAGAAGUGAUAGAACCAGAAGCAAAACACUGGUGCAGCGUUCCACUGCUAGAAACAGUAAAGGAAUAAAAUUUGAUGCCGAAUUCACAACAUUUCUUCUAGAUUGCUCCAAAACCCUCAGACUCAUCCAAGAGGAAUCUGGGGGACUUCUACCACAUGGAGACCUUGUUGUUGCCUUGGCACAGGGAAAAUGAACGCUCUCUGAAAACAUUAUGGGGGAGUUAGCUGUGGCUCCGUGAACGUUGUGCACACUUGGCAGGCGAGACAGCUGAGCUUCCUGCGUCCUCCUCCAGUGAUACAGGAGCACUGUGCAGUUUCCGUUUGCCGUUGCCUCGCGGAGCCUCACGAGGUCGUUCCGAGUUGAAACGUUUGCGGUGGUUUAUUCAUCCCAACAAUAAACUUUCCUCGCGCCCGGCGAUACGCACGCGACCCACCGCGACGGCGCUGAGUCCUGGCUGAGUCACCGGCCGCACCGGGCUCCUGCUGCUGCUGCUGCGGCUGCCGACUAUUUCUGGGCUGUAUAUAAGGAGCUGAACAGGGCUGAGGAUGCCGCGCACAACCACAGCGCUGAGCUUCACCAUGGUCAUUUCACAUCCACCCAGUUAGUCAUAUAUAAUGUAUAGGAACUUAGAAUGUGUGAGUGGGAGAAACAACAACAAUCACUUAUUAAAAUGCAAUUAAGUAAAAGUACAUCAAGUAGCAUCCUGUACUUGUGCAUCAAUGUGAAGGAAUUUUUAUAUUUAGUCAAAGUAGUGCUGCUACAUUAUGUAAAUCUGUUUUAAAAAUAUGGUAGUAAUAGUUUAAUGUAUUUCAUAAUGUAUUUGUAAAAUCUUUAUGUGAGAAUUUAACGGUAACAACAGCCUUCAAACUAAAUUUGUUGAGUAAAAAUCACAAUAAAUCUCUGAGAAAAAGCUGUGAAGUAAAAUUUUGGAGUAGAUGUGCAAAAGAUAUACGAAAUCAGGGAAGUGCAAAUGCAGCUUUUAUCACGGUCUCUUCCUACUUUGUUUCAUUUUUUUCUCCUCAGUCCUUUAAUAUUCAGAUUGGCCUUUUUAUACACAAUUUUCCUACAAUGUAUUAAGUGAUGUUUAUGAAUCUCUUUAUGUAAUCUCCUCUCUUACUCUCUGCAGUUAGUAUAUAUUGAAUUUGAACAAGCUAGUUUGACUGAUUGAAGAGUAGCCAAGCUCUUGAUGAUAACCCCAUUUCAAUUUCUAGGGGCCAAUAUUCUGAUUCUAAUUAUGUGGAAAGACUGAAAGUUGAUGCAAACUGGAACUUUGCCUGCUUGGUUUAAAUAAACCAACAAGCUCUAAAGGAAAAAAAAUACAUACAGGCUACUCUCAAGGCCAGAACAUUUGGGUGGCACUGACUGUAAGAACCCAUCUUAACCAGACUGUCGUUGCCUUGUCAGGCUUCAGAUGCUUGGCUUUCUGCGUUAACAGUAGUCCGCACUCCUUUCACACACAUUCCUCACAAACCCAGCACUUCCACAAAUGACUGUGAUUUCCUCUUGGCUGCUGAAAGGACUUGAUCCGCACAGUCCAAGAAAUAUAGUUUUUGCCCUUCUGUACAUCCAUUUCCUGUUCUAAAAUACUUGCAUAUGUUUUCUCUGUCAACUUACGUGUGAGUCACUCGGGUUAAGAGCAAAAACAAAUACGAACGGAACAAAUACAAGCUGACUCACAUGAGUGACUAAGACAUCUGGAAUACACCUUCAGGAUUUAGGAACAGCUUUGAUCCUCUUUAACAGUGUGUUUGUCUGAGUGUGUGUGUGUGUGUGUGUGUGUUGCAGAUAUACACUUAGCAUCAAUCUCUUUCAUAACUACAGUGACAUCUGCUGGCUCCAGGUUACACUGGUUCUUGUCUCUGUGACUUCUCUUCCUAUCGGUCUGAGGAACAGAUGGGGGUCGUGUACUACUCACGACACUUCAUAUAAUGAUCAUGAGUUUCACAAGUCUUUAAAUUACACACAGAUACUGUACUGUACAGCAGCUCAGCAAGUGGAACAAGACUACAAUUUGUUUCCCCUUCCACUCAGAUUAUUGUUCCUAGACUUGGAUGUUUGACCUUCACUGUGCUGAAUGAGGUAUGAGGUGAUGUAGAAACUGGAAGCCUGCAGGUCACAUACACUGAAAAUUGACUUUCUAGUGAAAUGGAAGACAUCUUGUGUCCAGUAGGAGUAGAUGUAAUGUUAACAAGGUAAUGGAACUAGUCAUUAGUCAUUAGUUUUAAUGUAUCAUAAGGGAGGAGGGGAUCUUAUACAAUAUACUGAAGAAAAAAUAGAAACACAACAUUCCCAUUUUACAUGAGUUGAAAUAAAAGAUCUAAACACCAAAAGGCUUCUUUCUCUCAAAUUCUGAUCAGAGAUUCGUUUAAAUCCAUGUUAGAGAGCACUUGUCCUUUGCCAAGACAAUCCAUCCACCUGACAGAUGUGGUGUAUAGAUGCUGAUUACACAGCAUGAUUACUGCACAGGUGUAUCUUGGGCUGGUUAAAAUAAAAGGCCACUCUAAAAUGUUUCAUCACACAAUCCCACAGAUGUUGCACGUUCUGAGGGUGUGUGCAGUGGGCAUGCUGAAUGUCCACUAGAGCUGUUGCCCCUGAAAUGAAUGUUGAUUUCGAUACCAUAAACCAUCUACAGUGACGUCUGAGAAUGUGGCAGCACAUUCAACGGGCCUCACAACCACUCCAGUCGGGACCUCCACAUCCAAUCAGCAACCAGUGUCACACUGCAUUAGGCAAAUUGUCGUCACACCAGAUACUGCCCAAAAAAUGUCAUGUAGCCUCAGUCAUGUGCUUAAUAAACAUGGUUUUUCAAAUUAAGACUGCACAUUUUAGAGUAGCCUUUUAUUGUGACCAGCCCGAGGCACACCUGUGCAGUAAUCACACACCUGUCAGGUGGAUGGAUUAUCCUGGAAAAAGAGAAAUGCUCACUAACAUGGAUUUCAACAAAUUUCUGGACAAAAUUAGAAAGAAAGAAGCCUUGUGCCUUCAUGAAAAACAGGAGCAAAAAAGAAAACUGUUGCGUUUAUAUUUUUGUUCCAUAUAAUUAAUCCACCAAAUAACAACUUCCUUAACAGCUUCCUUCGUCCUAUUAAAUACCUAUAUGUUCAUCUGUGGUCCUCUCCAUCCUUUUCUCAAAGCUCUGAAUAAUGCUGCUGCUUUCACUGUGGUCUAAUGCAUGAAACUCAUCCUCUCCUCUCUUCCUCACUUGAUCUCUUAUCUGAAUCUGAGCCACAGUGAGAAGGGAAACUACAACCUCUGCCUUAUAAAGCUUUGGUGAUAUAAGAAAGAUCUUUUCUCUUACUUCUCUCUCUUUUGGGGGUUUCUGCUAUUUUCCUGCUUCAGAGGCCCCAGAGGCUGUACUAUAAAUCUCACUGCAUUUCUGUCAUUUUGUCUUCCAGAGCUACAACUGUGUAACUCACCAUUUUGUACCUCAGAAUGGUCCAGCUGCUUCAACUGACUUUACUAAACCACCAGCAGCAUCUAGACUCCUGCAGUUCUGCUUAUCUCCUAUCUUCCUAUGCUUACUGAUGACGCAUCACAUCAGUGGUGUCUAAUCAGUAAAGUCCAUCUCUGUUGUUAACCUCAAUUAACGUCAUUAUACACUUUCAAUUGUUCUUUCAUCACUGAAUUACCAUAAAAGGAAGGAAGAAAUCCUCUGACAAGAUUAAAGCAGUGAUGAUUUACAGUUCAAUUAUUCUUAAUUGUUUUACAAUGAAAAUAAGAAUAAAACCUAAAAGUCAUUUAAAUGCAAGACAAUAUUUAAACUUGAGCUGCUGAGUUUGCUAAAGUCUUAAAACAUUAGUGAUAAUCUUUAUUUUAUUUAUUUUUUACCCAAGUUAGGGGUUUAAGUAUAUUUUGUUCCAUGUUUGCCUUUCUCAGUGACGACAGAGAAGUGACAGGAAAUGAGGACAGGCAGUGAUUGGGCAGCCAGGGACAGGGUCAUUACACAUGGAGCGUUUCCAUCAUAGGAACUUUUGCUGGGACCAAAAACCUUUUGAGAAACUCAGGAACUGCAUUUGAAUGUGCACCAGUUUUAGGUGCUAAAAAAGUCUUUCUUCCUGGGGUGUUUGCAGGUGUAACAGUUGCUGAUUGGUCAAAUGCAGACAACCACAGCUGCUUCAACUUGACUGAUAAAACAAGGGAGUACUCUUAAACCCGUCUUAAUCCUCUAGGCCAGCAGGAUGCCCAAUCAAUUCAUUUUUUCCACCAUCAACAUAAACUGAGUUUUAAAAAGCAGUAUUUUCAAAACAAAAUCUCACUGUCAAUUUAACUGCUGACACACUUCUGAUUAAAAACUGCAACAUUAAUGCUGACUGUUAUAUUGAUAUUAGCAGUUUGUGUUUAGAGUGGUUGCCCUGGUAACAGCUGCACGGUCAAAUCAAGCUUAUGCACUGGUACAUACUCUGUGUUAUAUUUCAAGGUCUCAGCAUCACUAAUGCUACAGAAUGUGACAUGGAUGUAUAAAUAUUAAUAUAUUGUAUAUGUGGUCUGAGUAAGAGAUCAAAAUAUUUUGAGAACCCUGCUGCUGUAUAACCUUUCAAACAUCUGUACCUCAUGAUGCCUAAUUCAUCUUUCUGUUAAAUCUGUUCUGGU
Long non-coding RNA from Lates calcarifer (barramundi perch), 4802 nucleotides. RefSeq lists it as uncharacterized. The record is from RefSeq and is a predicted model, not a curated record. NCBI's taxonomy places the organism in Eukaryota, Metazoa, Chordata, Actinopteri, Centropomidae. The transcript has 3 exons.